GUGACUUGGGAAAUUGCCUCUCUCAGCUUCAGUUUCCUCAACUCUCAAAUGGGACUAAUAAUACCUACCACAUAGACGGUUGGGAGGACGAAAAGAGAUCAUCUCCUGGAGCGAUUAGCAUCGUGCCUGGAAUGAGGAAGGAAUCACUAGGUUCCUAGUGGAGGAGUCCAGGAAGAAGAACAAGACUGACAACAACCAUAGCUAUCACUUUCCAGAACUUCCUGAGCCACAGACUUCACAUACAUUAUCUUGUUCAUCUCAUAGCAAUCCAGUGAGGUGGGGACCAUCCUUAUGCCCAUUUUCCAGUGGGGGAAACUGAGUCUCACAGUGGUUACGUCCCGCGUGGACAGUCUGUCAGCUGGUGAGUGGCAGAGCCGGCAUUUAAACCCCACACCGUUUGGCUCCACAUCCCACGCUUUCCCUCCUUACUGCACACUGCAUCCCUGGGCCCCUUCCAGCCGCUAGCCCCCCGCCCAAGGGGAGCCACUCUCCUGACUUCCACAGCAGAGGUGAGUCCUUCUGUAUUUGUACUUUAUGUAAAUGGCAUCAUGCAGUGUGUGCUCUUUGGUGUCUGGCUUCUUUCACUCAACAUCAAGUUUGUGAGAUUCACCCAUGUUGUUGAGUAUGUCUGUUGAUCAUUGGUAUGCUCUUGGCCGUACAGAAUUCCGUUGUGUGACUACGCUUCAGUUUAUGUAUCCAUUCUAUUAUUGAUGGACUUUGAAUUGUUUCUUUUUCUUGGCUAUUACACAAAGCUGUAUUAUGCAUAUAUAAACUUUUAAGGUUGUAGAUAAAAGAAUCUAUAUAGACAACAUAUCAUCUGUGGAUAAUGAGAAUUUUAAGUUUUUUUUUCCCCUUUCCAAACCUUAUAUGUUUUCUUUCUUUUCUUUUUUCUUCCUGAUUUUAAAAGCCUUCACUGUUUCACCAUUAAAAAUAAUUUUGUGUAGGUUUUGGUUAGACUUCCCUUAUCAGAUUAAGGAAAUCCCUUUCGAUUCUGAGCUAGUUAAUUUUUUAAAUCAUAAAUAGAUAUUUUGAAUUUCAUCGAAUGUGUUUUCUCUGUCUUUUGAAAUAACCAUAUUGUUUUGUUCUUGUAAUGCUAAUGGUGUGAAAGAUAAUUACAGAUUUUCUGAAGUUAAACCUUACAUUCCUGGAAUAAACUCAGCUGAGUCAUGAUGUGUUAUUUUUUUUCAUAAAGUGCAGGAUUUAUUUUGCUAAUAUUUGUGUAGGAUUACUCUCUUUAUGUUCCUAAAUGAAGUUUCCCUAUGAUUUUUCUUUAUUAUAUUUUUCCAGUUUUAGCAUCAAAGGUAGAGUGGACUCAUAGACUGAAUUAGGGAAUAUUCUUUUUCUUUUUUCUUCAAAGAAUUUGCAUAAUAUUAGAAUGAUAUGUUCCAUGAACACUUGGUAGAAUUUACUUGUAAAAUCAUCUGUGCCUGGUGAUUAUUUGUAGGAAAAUUAAACAAUUGAUUCACUUGUUUUGAUGGUUAUGAGCUAUUUCUAUUUGAGUUGGUUAUUUUUCAAAGAAUGUGCUCAUUUCUUCUAAGUUAAUGCAUCUUUAUGCAUUCUUUGGCAUGUAGUUUUUUAUAGUACUCUCUUAUCUUCUUAGUCUCUGAUGGAUCUCUCAUUAUAUCCCUUUUUAUUGUUAAUAUUAUUUGUGCAUUUCUCUUUCUUGCACAAUUCUCCUAGAGGCUUGCCUAUUUUAUUCGCGUUUUCUAAGAACCAACUUUAGGUUUUUGUAAAUCUUUGUUUUCUAUUUCAUUAAUUUCGACACCUAAAGUUAUUUUUCUUUAAAUUUAUUCUGUUGUUCUUUUUCUAAUUUCUUAAGUUGGGUACUUAGCUCAUUAAUUUUCAGCCUUGCCUCUCUUAUACGAAUAAGCAUUUAAGUCUCUACAUUUCUCUCAUUUCUCUCAUAGUAUCUUUUUUAUUGCAUUCCAGAAGCCUUGGUAUGUUGUAUUUUCAUUAUUGUUUAGUUCUAAAUAUAUUUAAAUUUCUCGGGGUCUUUUAUCCAAAAGGUAUUUAAAAGUGAGAUUUAAAAGUUCUAAGCAUAUGUUUUUGAGGUCUAAAUUAAUUGCACUGUGGUUGGAAAACUUGGUCCAUAUGAUAAGGGAUAUUUGAAAAUUUUAACCCUUCUUCUAUUCCAUGGUUAGUCUUUGUAAAUAUUGUCAUAUGGAAUCUAUAUAUGUUUGAUAAAUCAAACGAUAAUUGCAUUUUUAUAUUUUUACUAAUUUUUUGUCCUAUCAAUAAAUAAAAGAUGUACCUUGAACAUUG
Balaenoptera acutorostrata (minke whale) is the source of this 2262-nucleotide long non-coding RNA. RefSeq lists it as uncharacterized. The record is from RefSeq and is a predicted model, not a curated record. The transcript is spliced from 2 exons. NCBI's taxonomy places the organism in Eukaryota, Metazoa, Chordata, Mammalia, Artiodactyla, Balaenopteridae.